RNAcentral lists this ribosomal RNA (1015 nucleotides) under Lecanicillium sp. RNAcentral describes it as "SSU rRNA". It matches the Rfam family "Eukaryotic small subunit ribosomal RNA", at positions 79 to 1105 of the family's 1831-position model. The record is from RNAcentral. RNAcentral also lists the same sequence under 1 other name. Lineage: Eukaryota; Fungi; Ascomycota; Sordariomycetes; Hypocreales; Cordycipitaceae.
CAGCGAAACUGCGAAUGGCUCAUUAUAUAAGUUAUCGUUUAUUUGAUAGUACCUUACUACUUGGAUAACCGUGGUAAUUCUAGAGCUAAUACAUGCUAAAAAUCCCGACUCCGGAAGGGAUGUAUUUAUUAGAUUAAAAACCAAUGCCCUCUGGGCUCCUUGGUGAUUCAUGAUAACUUUUCGAAUCGCACGGCCUUGCGCCGGCGAUGGUUCAUUCAAAUUUCUUCCCUAUCAACUUUCGAUGUUUGGGUAUUGGCCAAACAUGGUCGCAACGGGUAACGGAGGGUUAGGGCUCGACCCCGGAGAAGGAGCCUGAGAAACGGCUACUACAUCCAAGGAAGGCAGCAGGCGCGCAAAUUACCCAAUCCCGAUUCGGGGAGGUAGUGACAAUAAAUACUGAUACAGGGCUCUUUUGGGUCUUGUAAUUGGAAUGAGUACAAUUUAAAUCCCUUAACGAGGAACAAUUGGAGGGCAAGUCUGGUGCCAGCAGCCGCGGUAAUUCCAGCUCCAAUAGCGUAUAUUAAAGUUGUUGUGGUUAAAAAGCUCGUAGUUGAACCUUGGGCCUGGCUGGCCGGUCCGCCUCACCGCGUGUACUGGUCCGGCCGGGCCUUUCCCUCUGUGGAACCUCAUGCCCUUCACUGGGUGUGGCGGGGAAACAGGACUUUUACUUUGAAAAAAUUAGAGUGCUCCAGGCAGGCCUAUGCUCGAAUACAUUAGCAUGGAAUAAUGAAAUAGGACGUGUGGUUCUAUUUUGUUGGUUUCUAGGACCGCCGUAAUGAUUAAUAGGGACAGUCGGGGGCAUCAGUAUUCAAUUGUCAGAGGUGAAAUUCUUGGAUUUAUUGAAGACUAACUACUGCGAAAGCAUUUGCCAAGGAUGUUUUCAUUAAUCAGGAACGAAAGUUAGGGGAUCGAAGACGAUCAGAUACCGUCGUAGUCUUAACCAUAAACUAUGCCGACUAGGGAUCGGACGAUGUUAUUUUUUGACGCGUUCGGCACCUUACGAGAAAUCAAAGUG